GCCUACGGGGGGCAGCAGUAGGGAAUAUUGCUCAAUGGGGGAAACCCUGAUGCAGCGACGCCGCGUGGGUGAAGGAGUGCUUCGGCAUGUAAAGCCCUAUCGGCAGGGAAGAAGCAAGACGGUACCCGACUAAGAAGCCCCGGCUAACUACGUGCCAGCAGCCGCGGUAAUACGUAGGUGGCAAGCGUUAUCCGGAUUUAUUGGGUGUAAAGGGCGUGUAGGCGGGAAUGCAAGUCAG
Molecule: ribosomal RNA, 238 nt
Filed under: uncultured bacterium
Lineage: Bacteria
Description: partial 16S ribosomal RNA
Rfam family: Bacterial small subunit ribosomal RNA
Source: RNAcentral